Molecule: ribosomal RNA, 120 nt
Filed under: Oncorhynchus mykiss (rainbow trout)
Lineage: Eukaryota; Metazoa; Chordata; Actinopteri; Salmoniformes; Salmonidae
Source: RNAcentral
GCUUACGGCCACACCGGCCUGAGUACGCCCUGAUCUCGCCUGAUCUCGGAAGCUAAGCAGGGUCGGGCCUGGUUAGUACUUGGAUGGGAGACCGCAUGGGAAUACCAGGUGCUGUAGCUU